GAUGAAGAACGUAGCGAAAUGCGAUAAGUAAUGUGAAUUGCAGAAUUCAGUGAAUCAUCGAAUCUUUGAACGCACAUUGCGCCCGCUAGUAUUCUGGCGGGCAUGCCUGUUCGAGCGUCAUUUCAACCAUCAAGCCCCGUAGCUUGUGUUGGGGACCUGCGGCUGCCGCAGCCCCCGAAAUGCAGUGGCGGGCUCGUUGUCACACCGAGUGCAGUAAUCAUUCUUCUCUCCGGGCGUGGCGGCGGGUUCCGGCCGUAAAAUCACCAAUUUAUCAAGGUUGACCUCGGAUCAGGUAGGAAUACCCGCUGAACUUAAGCAUAUCAAUAAGCGGAGGA
This 335-nucleotide unclassified non-coding RNA is filed under the name soil metagenome. RNAcentral's name for it is "partial contains 5.8S ribosomal RNA, internal transcribed spacer 2, and large subunit ribosomal RNA". The stretch from base 1 to 120 matches the Rfam family "5.8S ribosomal RNA", at positions 35 to 154 of the family's 154-position model. The record is from RNAcentral.